CCUACGGGUGGCUGCAGUGGGGAAUAUUGGACAAUGGGCGAAAGCCUGAUCCAGCCAUGCCGCGUGUGUGAAGAAGGCCUUCGGGUUGUAAAGCACUUUCAGUGGGGAAGAAAGCCUUGGGGCUAAUACCCUCGAGGAAGGACAUCACCCACAGAAGAAGCACCGGCUAACUCCGUGCCAGCAGCCGCGGUAAUACGGAGGGUGCGAGCGUUAAUCGGAAUUACUGGGCGUAAAGCGCGCGUAGGCGGUCUGAUAAGCCGGUUGUGAAAGCCCCGGGCUCAACCUGGGAACGGCAUCCGGAACUGUCAGGCUAGAGUGCAGGAGAGGAAGGUAGAAUUCCCGGUGUAGCGGUGAAAUGCGUAGAGAUCGGGAGGAAUACCAGUGGCGAAGGCGGCCUUCUGGACUGACACUGACGCUGAGGUGCGAAAGCGUGGGUAGCAAACAGGAUUAGAUACCCCCAGUAGUC
This 466-nucleotide ribosomal RNA is filed under the name Vreelandella stevensii. RNAcentral describes it as "partial 16S ribosomal RNA". It matches the Rfam family "Bacterial small subunit ribosomal RNA", at positions 338 to 795 of the family's 1533-position model. The record is from RNAcentral. Lineage: Bacteria; Pseudomonadati; Pseudomonadota; Gammaproteobacteria; Oceanospirillales; Halomonadaceae.